RNAcentral lists this ribosomal RNA (774 nucleotides) under uncultured Neocallimastigales. RNAcentral describes it as "partial large subunit ribosomal RNA". It matches the Rfam family "Eukaryotic large subunit ribosomal RNA", at positions 24 to 636 of the family's 3401-position model. Lineage: Eukaryota; Fungi; Neocallimastigomycota; Neocallimastigomycetes; Neocallimastigales. The record is from RNAcentral.
AUGUGAUCGUCUCUCGCAUAUCAAUAAGCGGAGGAAAAGAAACUAACAAGGAUUCCCCUAGUAACGGCGAGUGAAGCGGGAAGAGCUCAAAUUUGAAAUCUUAAAGGGUUUCCCUUUACGAAUUGUAGUUUAAAGAAGUGUUUUCUGUUGAGGUUUUGGUAAAAGUUCUUUGGAAUAGGACAUCAUAGAGGGUGAGAAUCCCGUAUUUGACCUUUACUUUCAACUUUGUGAUACACUUUCAAAGAGUCGGAUUGUUUGGGAAUGCAGUCCAAAAUGGGUGGUAAAUUUCAUCUAAAGCUAAAUAUUGGCGAGAGACCGAUAGCGAACAAGUACCGUGAGGGAAAGAUGAAAAGAACUUUGAAAAGAGAGUUAAACAGUACGUGAAAUUGUCAAAAGGGAAGCGUUUGACACCAGUGUUGUUUUUCUGAAAAUCAAUUAAAGAACUGUUUAUGCUAAGCUUGUUUAGACUUUAUCAGCUAUCUGUUUAGUUUUGAGCUUUUCUUUAAUGCACUUUUCAGUUAACAAGUCAACAUCAAUUUCUUUUGCUGUAAAAAAGCUUGAGGAAGGUGGCUUGAGAUUCGUCUUAAGUGUUUAUAGCCUCUUGCCUAUGCAGUCGGAGAGAUUGAGGUCUGCAGCGUAGAUCCUUCGGGGCUAAAUGCAUUUGUGCUAAGUUAUAGCAUUUUAUAGACAACUUGUUGACUAUGAUUUGUCUUGUAGCUUACUCGCUUAUGUUAUUUUACCUACGCUUAGGAUGUUGAUAUGCAUGACUGAUAU